UUAAAAACAAAAUGAGUUUGGAGACUUUGAUCAAAGAAUCGCUUGGGAGCUGGUUUAAAUGCCUUUCCCUGGCGCCCGUAGCGAUCUAUGAAUUGAAGGAUCUCUGAAAAUUUGCAUUUUUUUUUUUUUUUUCAAGUUCCCAAACGGUUCUUUUAGGACCCCUGCCUUUACGGUUAAGACGACUAGAUUUAAAACCUGGGCUUGGGAGGGGGAAGGGAGGGCCUUGAAAUCAGUAAAUCUGUAUAGAACCGAUAGAUGUGUGGUUCAGAGUAUAGGUUUUUGGUUUGUUAGGUUAAUAUAUUCGAGAAGAUUACGACUUGUGGUACAACUUGAAAUGUCCUGAUACAGUUGUGCUUUUCUUGAUGAAUGUCUCGUGAUUUCUUCAGCCACUCAUUAAUUCCUACAAGUGGGUCAUAUCUGCCAACAGCUGAUCUCAUUUUGAUUCCAGUCUUAUUCUUAGAAGUUUCCAGGUGACGCUGAUGCUGCUGGUCUCCGAAGCACACAGCACACGAAGCACACUUUAAGAACCUCCACUGGCUUAAAAAAGAAACAGGCCCCAAAUGGAAUCACUUGUGGUAAGCCCCAUGGCAGAAAUAAAAACUUUAAUAUCUCAUUUCAGUUUCAGCCUCUCCAGAGGUGGGAUUUUAAACCAAUCAGUCUGGAAUUUCCUGAUCAUCCCUAGUAAUCUGCUUGAUAGAUUCCCCACCUUUCCCCUAAAGGAAGGUAGCCUUACCGAAAAUAAUCCUUUCUUUUAUUCAUGACUUCCUGGUCUUAUCCCCCAUUUCUGCCUUUAAAAAUCUUCUAUUUUGUACAGCUACUCUGGAACUAUUUUCUAUUUGCUAGAUAGGAUGCUAAUUCAUGACUCAUCAAAUAAAGCCAUUGAGUUCUUCAAAUUUA
Long non-coding RNA from Cervus elaphus (red deer), 897 nucleotides. RefSeq lists it as uncharacterized. The record is from RefSeq and is a predicted model, not a curated record. The transcript has 2 exons. Lineage: Eukaryota; Metazoa; Chordata; Mammalia; Artiodactyla; Cervidae.